Diplogelasinospora grovesii is the source of this 103-nucleotide non-coding RNA. The record is from the annotation of a GenBank genome assembly. NCBI's taxonomy places the organism in Eukaryota, Fungi, Ascomycota, Sordariomycetes, Sordariales, Diplogelasinosporaceae.
GGGUGCAUGGUCUAGUGGUAUGAUUUUCGCUUCGCAUUAAAAAAAUAUCUGAAGUGAGAGAUGCGCUUGUGAAAGGUCCCCGGUUCGAUCCCGGGUGCAUCCA